CCUACGGGAGGCAGCAGUGAGGAAUAUUGGUCAAUGGACGAGAGUCUGAACCAGCCAAGUAGCGUGAAGGAUGACUGCCCUAUGGGUUGUAAACUUCUUUUAUAUGGGAAUAAAACGUUCCACGUGUGGGAUUUUGUAUGUACCAUAUGAAUAAGGAUCGGCUAACUCCGUGCCAGCAGCCGCGGUAAUACGGAGGAUCCGAGCGUUAUCCGGAUUUAUUGGGUUUAAAGGGAGCGUAGGUGGAUUGUUAAGUCAGUUGUGAAAGUUUGCGGCUCAACCGUAAAAUUGCAGUUGAAACUGGCAGUCUUGAGUACAGUAGAGGUGGGAGGAAUUCGUGGUGUAGCGGUGAAAUGCUUAGAUAUCACGAAGAACUCCGAUUGCGAAGGCAGUUCACUGGACUGCAACUGACACUGAGGCUCGAAAGUGUGGGUAUCAAACAGGAUUAGAUACCCUUGUAGUC
Molecule: ribosomal RNA, 460 nt
Filed under: uncultured bacterium
Lineage: Bacteria
Description: partial 16S ribosomal RNA
Rfam family: Bacterial small subunit ribosomal RNA
Source: RNAcentral